RNAcentral lists this unclassified non-coding RNA (415 nucleotides) under fungal sp. RNAcentral describes it as "partial internal transcribed spacer region". The stretch from base 1 to 46 matches the Rfam family "Eukaryotic small subunit ribosomal RNA", at positions 1786 to 1831 of the family's 1831-position model. The record is from RNAcentral. Lineage: Eukaryota; Fungi.
AAGUCGUAACAAGGUUUCCGUAGGUGAACCUGCGGAAGGAUCAUUAACACGUAUCCACGUAUCCAAACGAACCACCACGAACUGAUCUCCCCGAGACAACCUACCUCUUAGCUGUCCUGUUCGGUGCUUACAAUGGGUUUCACUUUACCGUAAAAACGUUUAGUGUGGCAUAGCACGUCUGGGCUGUUGCUCCCCGAUCAAAAGGGAGAGUGAAGGCGAAGUAAUUGGAUUGUCGGGCUUUACCAUUUUUCAAACCGCUUCAAGGUACCCAUUCUUCCCUUGGCGGUGCGAUGACCAUACCCUUUUCACCCUAUUUUACCUAAUUGGCUAAUUUACUUUAAAUUCCAGAAAUGGGAUUUAUUCUAAGAUUUAUCUUAACUAAGCACAACUCUUAGCAAUGGAUAUCUUGGUUCUC